This 252-nucleotide ribosomal RNA is filed under the name uncultured Bacteroidales bacterium. RNAcentral describes it as "partial 16S ribosomal RNA". It matches the Rfam family "Bacterial small subunit ribosomal RNA", at positions 524 to 776 of the family's 1533-position model. The record is from RNAcentral. Lineage: Bacteria; Pseudomonadati; Bacteroidota; Bacteroidia; Bacteroidales.
UACGGAGGAUGCGAGCGUUAUCCGGAUUUAUUGGGUUUAAAGGGUGCGUAGGCGGUCCGUUAAGUCAGCGGUAAAAUUGCGGGGCUCAACCCCGUCGAGCCGUUGAAACUGGCAGACUUGAGUUGGCGAGAAGUACGCGGAAUGCGCGGUGUAGCGGUGAAAUGCAUAGAUAUAUGGAAGAACACCAGUGGCGAAGGCGGCCGCCUGGCCUGUUACUGACGCUGAGGCACGAAAGCGUGGGGAGCAAAUAGG